Non-coding RNA from Heterocephalus glaber (naked mole-rat), 653 nucleotides. Lineage: Eukaryota; Metazoa; Chordata; Mammalia; Rodentia; Bathyergidae. The record is from RefSeq and is a predicted model, not a curated record.
GGAGAUCUUGCCUAGCCAGAGAAGCAGAGGAGUUCUCAUGGAGUUUAAGCUAAAGCCACAACAACAGACAGAUGGUGUCCAAUCCCAGCAUGAACAGGGACAGCUACCUCUUCAGUUCGUGCUUGGACUCUAUGAAGCAGAGCAGCACCUCCUCAUUCAUGUAUGUCACAGAAAUAUCUUCUGAACUGGUGGAGGUGAUGCAGUGGAAAACCAUUCCCUAGGUUCUGCACAAAUUAGGAGCACCUGAGUGGAAGCUGAACAAGGUGAAAUCUUAACAAAGGGCAGCUCACAGACCCAGCAUAUGAGUGAGUGGAAAUUCUCCCACCACACCUCCUGCACCUCCGCAGACCUCCCUACCUCUAAUCGGUAAAAGUUGCUGCCUAUUUACACUGGACCCAUGCAUAGAUGUCAAUGAUAGAGUGCCACGGACUCAAGGUUAAAAGGAAAAAGCCACCAAACCUUGACUUCUAACCAUGUCUGUAAGUUGAUCCAUCAAGCGUUGUUGGAAAAAUGAUCUCUCUCCUUCCCCAGUGAUGAGAGGCUCUGCCAAGCCAACUCCGGUACUGGAUCUCCUGUGGGAGAAAUAUCCAGAGCUGUAAGCGGGAAGAAAUAUCCAGAGCUUCACAGUAGAGGCAGCAGAGGAGUCUCAUGGC